UGGGGAAUAUUGGACAAUGGGCGCAAGCCUGAUCCAACCAUGCCGCGUGAGUGAUGAAGGCCCUAGGGUUGUAAAGCUCUUUCACCGGUGAAGAUAAUGACGGUAACCGGAGAAGAAGCCCCGGCUAACUUCGUGCCAGCAGCCGCGGUAAUACGAAGGGGGCUAGCGUUGUUCGGAUUUACUGGGCGUAAAGCGCACGUAGGCGGACUAUUAAGUCAGGGGUGAAAUCCCGGGGCUCAACCCCGGAACUGCCUUUGAUACUGGUAGUCUUGAGUUCGAGAGAGGUGAGUGGAAUUCCGAGUGUAGAGGUGAAAUUCGUAGAUAUUCGGAGGAACACCAGUGGCGAAGGCGGCUCACUGGCUCGAUACUGACGCUGAGGUGCGAAAGCGUGGGGAGCAAACAGG
Molecule: ribosomal RNA, 404 nt
Filed under: Actinomycetes bacterium
Lineage: Bacteria; Bacillati; Actinomycetota; Actinomycetes
Description: Actinobacteria bacterium partial 16S ribosomal RNA
Rfam family: Bacterial small subunit ribosomal RNA
Source: RNAcentral